GGUGCGGUAGUCAAAAUUAAAUUGAUAUCCGUCUUGCACACGGAAGGUGAAGGUAAAUAUUUUCUCGUGCCA
RNAcentral lists this transfer RNA (72 nucleotides) under Anadara sp. SS-2018. Its description in RNAcentral is "tRNA-Ala". The record is from RNAcentral. RNAcentral also lists the same sequence under 1 other name. Lineage: Eukaryota; Metazoa; Mollusca; Bivalvia; Arcoida; Arcidae.